GACCGUGCGAAGGUAGCAUAAUCAUUAGUUUUUUAAUUGAAGGCUAGAAUGAAUGGUUGGACAAGAAAUAAUCUGUCUUAAAUUAAUAUAUUGAAUUUAACUUUUAAGUGAAAAGGCUUAAAUAAUCUGAAGGGACGAUAAGACCCUAUAAAACUUUAUAUUGAAAAGUGAUAGGUAUAUUUUGUUUAAAGAAUUAUUACUUUAAAGUAUUUGGUUGGGGUGACAAAAAUAGAAGAUAAAGUAACUGUUUUUUUUUUAUACAAUAAUGUUUGGGUUAGUGAUCCUAAAAUGGAUUAAAGAUUAAGUUACUUUAGGGAUAACAGCGUAAUUUUCUUUAAAAGUUCUUAUCGAUAAGAAAGUUUGCGACCUCGAUGUUGAAUUAAAGGUUCUUUAUGGAGUAGAGACUAUAAAAGAAGGUCUGUUCGACCUUUAAAACUUUACAUGAUUUGAGUUCAGACCGGUGUGAGCCAGGUUGGUUUCUAUC
RNAcentral lists this ribosomal RNA (484 nucleotides) under Cambarus tenebrosus. RNAcentral describes it as "partial 16S ribosomal RNA". It matches the Rfam family "Bacterial large subunit ribosomal RNA", at positions 1944 to 2642 of the family's 2925-position model. The record is from RNAcentral. Lineage: Eukaryota; Metazoa; Arthropoda; Malacostraca; Decapoda; Cambaridae.